CGCUCAGAGCGAUUAGAGGGAAACCGCUCAGUGGCAAAACUAACCACUGAGUGGUCAAAGCGGCAAAAGGGAAACCGUUGAGCGGUGAACUUAGGCGCCUGGGCAUUUAUCUGUUUUUAUUAGCUAGAUUUUGUAAUCUUUCUGUUAUCUUUUUGGGCUUAUAUAUAGCCCCAGUGCGAAUCAAAAGGGGAUUCUUUUGGCAGAGAGAAACGUCCAGAGCUAUUCCACACA
Molecule: long non-coding RNA, 231 nt
Filed under: Vigna radiata
Lineage: Eukaryota; Viridiplantae; Streptophyta; Magnoliopsida; Fabales; Fabaceae
Description: long non-coding RNA (VRAD_LNC017425)
Source: RNAcentral